AUUAUUUUUAAUAUAUGAAUUUUUAUUAACCAAUUUCAUAUCUUCAUUAAUCAAUUUUUUAAUUUUUAUUAACCAAUUUUGUUUUACUACUUAAAAUUAUUUUUGAUAUCUGAGCAUUUAUUAAUCAACUUCAUCACUUCAUUAACUGAUUUUUUAUAUUUUAUUAACCAAGUUUGUUUCACUACUUAAAGACAUUGUUUACGGGCAUUAU
This 211-nucleotide long non-coding RNA is filed under the name Lathyrus oleraceus (garden pea). RNAcentral describes it as "Pisum sativum (pea) long non-coding RNA (PSAT_LNC018012)". Lineage: Eukaryota; Viridiplantae; Streptophyta; Magnoliopsida; Fabales; Fabaceae. The record is from RNAcentral.